GUUAAACAUUAUUAAUCUUAUUUUCACUGUAGAUUUUAUCUACCGAUGACCACGUUAGCACGGGUGACGUUACAACAGUCCACAAUCGGUACGCAGACAGAGACCUGUCGGACCAUCUGAUCAGUUCUAGAUAACAACAAACUUCUAUCACGCUUACUCGUUUGAUCUACCGCUGCCCUCUGUUGAUCAACAACCACGAAACAAAACCGCAAGAUGAGGUCAUAUCGUUCGACGUUUGCUUGGCACCUACUUUGCAAGUGCCAAGUGUCAGUUUUCAAAGAUUUGGGAGUCCAGUUGCAAUCGCUCUGACUUUUGUGUAAAACAAUGAUGUAAAUAUGGUCGUAUGUUAAUAAUGAGAUCUAUGUUAUUCGAAAUUUUA
This is a long non-coding RNA of Ostrea edulis (European flat oyster), 379 nucleotides long. RefSeq lists it as uncharacterized. The record is from RefSeq and is a predicted model, not a curated record. The transcript has 2 exons. Lineage: Eukaryota; Metazoa; Mollusca; Bivalvia; Ostreida; Ostreidae.